GUUCUUGGAAAUCGAUGUGCUGACCUAGAGCUCCAGCUGGAAGCUUUCAAGGAGAAAACUUCUUAUCUUGAUGAUGAACUCUCCAAGUAUCGUGCCAGAGCAGAUGAACAGGAGACUGAACUUGUCACACUGCAACAACAAUUACAGCAUUACCAGCAGACAGAAAUUCAGAGUAAAGAAUCCAGUAUUUCUGAAUCACCUGAUGCCUUUGAAUUCACUACAUUGCUUGCUGAGUUAGAUGAACAGAUUCAACUUUCUUUAGCUGACUUAAAGCGUCCUGAGGGAACUGAUUUUGAUGACUCAGAGGUUUUGAAAAGUAAAGAUUCG
RNAcentral lists this long non-coding RNA (327 nucleotides) under Gossypium barbadense (sea-island cotton). Its description in RNAcentral is "long non-coding RNA (GBAR_LNC020282)". Lineage: Eukaryota; Viridiplantae; Streptophyta; Magnoliopsida; Malvales; Malvaceae. The record is from RNAcentral.